UCGCAACGGGAGUGUUUACUAUCUUUGCCGGCGAGCGGCGGACGGGUGAGUAAUGCCUAGGGAUCUGCCCAGUCGAGGGGGAUAACAGUUGGAAACGACUGCUAAUACCGCAUACGCCCUACGGGGGAAAGGAGGGGACCUUCGGGCCUUCCGCGAUUGGAUGAACCUAGGUGGGAUUAGCUAGUUGGUGAGGUAAUGGCUCACCAAGGCGACGAUCCCUAGCUGUUCUGAGAGGAUGAUCAGCCACACUGGGACUGAGACACGGCCCAGACUCCUACGGGAGGCAGCAGUGGGGAAUAUUGCACAAUGGGGGAAACCCUGAUGCAGCCAUGCCGCGUGUGUGAAGAAGGCCUUCGGGUUGUAAAGCACUUUCAGUAGGGAGGAAAGGUAAUAGCUUAAUACGCUGUUGCUGUGACGUUACCUACAGAAGAAGGACCGGCUAACUCCGUGCCAGCAGCCGCGGUAAUACGGAGGGUCCGAGCGUUAAUCGGAAUUACUGGGCGUAAAGCGUGCGCAGGCGGUUUGUUAAGCGAGAUGUGAAAGCCCCGGGCUCAACCUGGGAAUUGCAUUUCGAACUGGCGAACUAGAGUCUUGUAGAGGGGGGUAGAAUUCCAGGUGUAGCGGUGAAAUGCGUAGAGAUCUGGAGGAAUACCGGUGGCGAAUGCGGCCCCCUGGACAAAGACUGACGCUCAUGCACGAAAGCGUGGGGAGCAAACAGGAUUAGAUACCCUGGUAGUCCACGCCGUAAACGAUGUCUACUCGGAGUUCGGUGUCUUGAACACUGGGCUCUCAAGCUAACGCAUUAUUUACACCGCCUGGGGAGUACGGCCGCAAGGUUAAAACUCAAUGAAUUGACGGGGGCCCGCACAAGCGGCUGGAGCAUGUGGCUUAAUUCGAUGCAACGCGAAGAACCUUACCUACUCUUGACAUCGAGAGAAUUCGCUAGAGAUAGCUUAUUGCCUUCGCGAACUCUGAGACAGUGCUGCAUGGCUGUCGUCAGCUCGUGUCGUGAAUGUUGGGUAAAGUCCCGCAACGAGCGCACCCCCUAUCCG
This 1052-nucleotide ribosomal RNA is filed under the name Shewanella baltica. Its description in RNAcentral is "bacterial SSU rRNA". It matches the Rfam family "Bacterial small subunit ribosomal RNA", at positions 66 to 1111 of the family's 1533-position model. The record is from RNAcentral. Lineage: Bacteria; Pseudomonadati; Pseudomonadota; Gammaproteobacteria; Alteromonadales; Shewanellaceae.